RNAcentral lists this ribosomal RNA (465 nucleotides) under uncultured bacterium. RNAcentral describes it as "bacterial SSU rRNA". It matches the Rfam family "Bacterial small subunit ribosomal RNA", at positions 30 to 490 of the family's 1533-position model. The record is from RNAcentral.
AUUGAACGCUGGCGGCAUGCCUUACACAUGCAAGUCGAACGGCAGCACGGGGGCAACCCUGGUGGCGAGUGGCGAACGGGUGAGUAACAUAUCGGAACAUACCCUAGAGUGGGGGAUAACGUAGCGAAAGUUACGCUAAUACCGCAUACGAUCUAAGGAUGAAAGUGGGGGAUCUUCGGACCUCAUGCUCAUGGAGUGGCCGAUAUCUGAUUAGCUAGUUGGUGAGGUAAAGGCUCACCAAGGCGACGAUCAGUAGCUGGUUUGAGAGAACGACCAGCCACACUGGAACUGAGACACGGUCCAGACUCCUACGGGAGGCAGCAGUGGGGAAUUUUGGGACAAUGGGGGCAACCCUGAUCCAGCAAUGCCGCGUGAGUGAAGAAGGCCUCGGUUGUAAGCUCUUUGUCUAGGGAGAAACGGUGAGUUCGUAAUACAGCUUGCUAAUGACGGUACCUGAAGAAUAAG